Molecule: non-coding RNA, 27 nt
Filed under: Homo sapiens (human)
Lineage: Eukaryota; Metazoa; Chordata; Mammalia; Primates; Hominidae
Source: RNAcentral
UGUGAGUGGCAUUGCAGGCGUUGAAGC